UCAAGUGCGGCAUAGCCCCUUGGCCUUCGGGUUUCUUGCGUUGCCUACCGACACGAUGGCAUCUGUUUUUGUCCCAACGACCCUCGUUCGUUUAGUGCUCCCCUUUGGUUGGGGCACAAGGCGAAACUUGUAGCUUGUUCUGUUAGCCACGUCGCGUCUGGCUGUCGUGGUGAACGGGGCACUGCUUAAGAGCUCUCGGAUAUGGAAAGCAUUGAGGGCAUUGACAUCUCAUCCUUGCCCAAGCAUGCAUUUGAUGGACCCCAACACCUGUGCACGACUGUCGCUCCCGCGUCGGUUCGGCCGUGCGGGCAUGACGUCGUUGAGGAAUGCUACCUGGUUGAUCCUGCCAGUA
RNAcentral lists this unclassified non-coding RNA (352 nucleotides) under Cynanchum taiwanianum. Its description in RNAcentral is "contains 5' external transcribed spacer, ETS". The record is from RNAcentral. Lineage: Eukaryota; Viridiplantae; Streptophyta; Magnoliopsida; Gentianales; Apocynaceae.